Molecule: non-coding RNA, 544 nt
Organism: Pogona vitticeps (central bearded dragon)
Lineage: Eukaryota; Metazoa; Chordata; Lepidosauria; Squamata; Agamidae
Source: RefSeq, a predicted model, not a curated record
UCCCUUUCACUCGGCAGAGUUCAGCCAUCAUUCUGUCAUUCCUCGUCAUCCAGAGAAGCAAUUGCACUUCUGUUUUAAUACUGAACAUCCUGUCAUUAUCAAAGAUAACCAUGUCCACUGGGGAAGGUGUAAACCUCCUUAAAUCAAGUGCAUGAGGAUUUAUCUGGAAAGAACAAUAAGCAAAAGAACUUCUCCGUGUACAGAAUGGCUGAUUAACUUUCAGGCAUCUGCGAGAACAAUUCUGCCAAAAAUUAAUCACAGCCUGCAAAACCUGGGCCAUCUUGAUCUGAUGCAAGCUACAGAAUCUUUUCCAAAAAAGUAACUUCAUCCAUUUGGCUCCAGAAAACACUUCGGAAAAGGCACAUUUUGCCAUUAAUCAGCACUGCCAGACAUCUGAACUCACUUUUCAAAUGCUGAUGCUAAUUGCUGCCUACAGAUGGCAGUGAACCUUCAGGAUUAAGAAGAAUGAACUGCCAGGAAUGGAAGAGCUGAAACACCACUUCUAUUCCUAUUUUUAUUUUACUCUGUCUUUUUUCAAAGUGCU